This is a non-coding RNA of Arachis ipaensis, 146 nucleotides long. The record is from RefSeq and is a predicted model, not a curated record. NCBI's taxonomy places the organism in Eukaryota, Viridiplantae, Streptophyta, Magnoliopsida, Fabales, Fabaceae.
GAAAUCGCAGCUGCUUCGUUUCGCUAGUUCAUGUCGCUAUGAUUAUUGCGGAUGUGGCUUGAAGCUGAGGUUGCUGUUGUUGAUGAUUUCGGGUUAAGGUGGAAAGGACUCUGUGAGGCGUUUGGUUUAUGGAAUUACGUUUUGAG